CCUACGGGAGGCAGCAGUGAGGAAUAUUGGUCAAUGGGCGCGAGCCUGAACCAGCCAAGUCGCGUGAGGGAAGAAGGUACAACGUAUCGUAAACUUCUUUUGUAAGGGAACAAAGGCGGGGACUAGUCCCCGGAUGAGGGUACCUGAUGAAAAAGCAUCGGCUAACUCAGUGCCAGUAGCCGCGGUAAUACGGAGGAUGCGAGCGUUAUCCGGAUUUAUUGGGUUUAAAGGGUGCGUAGGCGGGGAGGUAAGUCAGCGGGUAAAUGCUUGCGCUCAACGGGGUGAAGUGCAAUUGAUACUGGCAGCCUUGAGUGCAGAUGCGGUAGGAGGAAUGUGUGGUGUAGCGGUGAAAUGCAUAGAUAUCACACAGAACACCGAUUGCGAAGGCAUCUCACGAAUCCGCGAUUGACGCUGAUGCACGAAAGCGUGGGUAUCAAACAGGAUUAGAUACCCGUGUAGUC
Molecule: ribosomal RNA, 461 nt
Filed under: uncultured bacterium
Lineage: Bacteria
Description: partial 16S ribosomal RNA
Rfam family: Bacterial small subunit ribosomal RNA
Source: RNAcentral